GGUAAGAUGGCUGAGUUUAGGCAAUAAAUUGUAAAUUUAUUUACGAAAUAAUAAUUUCUCUUACCA
Molecule: transfer RNA, 66 nt
Filed under: Teispes insularis
Lineage: Eukaryota; Metazoa; Arthropoda; Insecta; Coleoptera; Cerambycidae
Description: tRNA-Tyr
Source: RNAcentral